CAAAACGCACAAAUAUCAUACCCUCAAGACAUGCUAACCUCUCAUCGUUACAAUAACAGGUACGGGUUAGCAUGUUAUAUCAUACCCUCAAGACAUGCUAACCUCUCAUCGUUACAAUAACAGGUACGGGUUAGCAUGUUAUAUCAUACCCUCAAGACAUGCUAACCUCUCAUCGUUACAAUAACAGGGGAGGUUAGAAUUUUUUUGCGGUGGUAUAAGUCAUCACAAGUCAUUCCCUAAUCAUGGUAGCAUCAACAUUAAUGUAGAAGUGUUUAGAAAUAUAUUCAUUUCUUAUUUAUAAUAAAAGUUACACCAAAAUGACACAAUACAUGAUUUACCAUUGAUUUCUAAAUGGGCACAACAUAAUUUGAAACAGAACGUACACAAACUUAAUCCAACAAGUUUGUAGAGUCACAAACUUGAUGUAGUCAUUGAUUGCUAUGAAUAUGGGAUCAAAUACUUCUGUUUUUCUACUUUAAUGCACAUAAGGGAAUUUGUCCCAAUACUUUUGGUCCCCUAAAAUGAGGAGAAUAUGUCCAAAAAGUGCUGUAAUCUCGAAACCGUUCACCUGAUAUGGAUAAAAAUACCCUCUAAUUAAAGCUGACAGUCUGCAAUGUAUUAUUUCCAAUCCAAAGUGCUGGAGUACAGAACCAAAACAACAAUAACAUGUGACACUGUCCCAACACUGCUGGAGCUUACUGAAUAUGUGGUCAUAUACAAAUAUAAGCAAGGUUUGAAAUGAUUACAUUUUAGUCAAAUAUUAUAUAUUUUUGGACUUCUUGCAGUCAAUUUGCAGUCUACAAAUAAUUUGUAAUUAUAUUCUGGCCCCCUGACCAUCCUCUCAAGGAAAAAUCAGCCUGUGGCUGAAUCUAGUUGAUGAUCCUUUCUAUAGAAAUUGUAUAGAAUCAGCUUGACCCCCUCUGUCGAAGAUUCUUGGACCUUCUUUUUUGAUAUUUUCAGUGGUAUUGUUAACAAACACGCCCCCAUGAAGAAAAUGAGAAUUAAAACAGGUUUCAGCCUCUGGAUUGACCGUGAUCUUGCAGAGUUACUCCACCUCAAGAAUUGCAUUUGGUGAAAGGCAAAAGACAGACCAAAGACAGACAUUCUGACUGGGUGUCGUUCAGGCAAAUGAGAAAUAAAUGCACUCAGGCUAUCCAGAAGGCCAAAGUUAGUUACCUUAAGGAGCACUACUCUCUCUGAGUAAUUUCGGUGUUCCUCAAGGUUCCGUUUUAGGACCACUUAUUUUCACUAUAUAUUUUACCUCUUGGGGAUGUCAUUCGAAAACAUAAUGUUAACUUUUACUGCUAUGCGGAUGACACAUAGCUGUACAUUUCAAUGAAACAUGGUGAAGCCCCAAAAUUGCCCUCGCUAGAAGCCUGUGUUUCAGACAUAAGGAAGUGGAUGGCUGCAAACUUUCUACUUUUAAACUCAGACAAAACAGAGAUGCUUGUUCUAGGUCCCAAGAAACAAAGAUCUUCUGUUGAAUCUGACAAUUAAUCUUGAUGGUUGUACAGUCGUCUCAAAUAAAACUGUGAAGGACCUCGGUGUUACUCUGGACCUUGAUCUCCCUUUUGACGAACAUAUCAAGACUGUUUCAAGGACAGCUUUUUUCAUUCUACAUAACCUCUCUGAACCACCCAUAUUGGAUCCUGGAUAAUUGUCAUCAGCAACGCUGAAUAGCAUAGCGCCACAGUCAAAUAAUAUUACUAGAAAAUAUUAAUAUUCAUGAAAUCACAAGUGCAAUAUUGCAAAACACAGCUUAGCCUUUUGUUAAUUCACCUGUCGUCUCUGAUUUUGGAAAUUAUGCUUUACAGCGAAAGCAAUACAUGCGUUUGUGUAAGUUUAUCGAUUGCUCGACAAAAUAAUAAGUACACUUAGAAUCAGGCAACUUGGUCACGAAAAUCAGAAAAGCAAUCAAAUUAAUCAUUUACCUUUGAUGAUCUUUGGAUGUUUUUACUCACAAGACUCCCAGUUAGACAACAAAUGUUCCUUUUGUUCCAUAAAGAUAUUUUUUAUAUCCAAAUACCUCUGUUAGUUUGGUGCGUUAUGCCCAGGAAUCCACCGGAAAGAGCGGUCACGACAACACAGACAAAAAUUCCAAAUUAUAUCCAUAAUGUCCACAUAAACAUGUCAAAUGUUUUUUAUAAUAAAUCCUCAUGUUUUUCAAAUAUCUAUUAGAUAAUAUAUCAACCGGGACAGUUGGCUUUUCACUAGGACCGGGAGUAACAAUGCCCGCCUUUCUCUUUUGCGCACAACUCACUCUGAGAGCCCCCACCUAUCCACUUACGCAAUGUGGUCGUUCACGCUCAUUCUUCAAAAUAAAUGCCUGAAACAAUGUCUGAAGACUGUUGACACCUUGAGGAAGCGAUAGGAAAAGGAAUCUGGUUGAUAUCCCUUUAAAUGGAGCAAUGGGAGGCUAUGGAACAUGGAGUUUUCAAAAUAGAAGCCACUUCCUAGUUUGAUUUUUCUCAGGGUUUCACCUGCAAUAUCAGUUCUGUUAUACUCACAGACAAUAUUUUGACAGUUUUGGACACUUUAGAGUGUUUUCUAUCCUAAUCUGUCAAUUACAUGCAUAUUCUAGCAUCUGGUCCUGAGAAAUAGGCCGUUUAAUUUGGGAACGUUAUUUUUCCAAACAUAAAAAUAGUGCCCCCUAGCUUCAAGAGGAUAACAUUGCAAAAAUCAGAAACUUUCUGUCCAAAAAUGAUGCAGAAAGAUUAAUCCAUGCUUUUGUUACUUCUAGGUUAGACUACUGCAAUGCUCUACUUUCCGGCUACCCAGAUAAAGCACUAAAUAAACUUCAGUUAGUGCUAAAUACGGCUGCUAGAAUCCUGACUAGAACCAAACAAUUUGAUCAUAUUCCUCCAGUGCUAGCCUCCCUACACUGGCUUCCUGUCAAGGCAAGGGCUGAUUUAAAGGUUUUACUGCUAACCUACAAAGCAUUACAUGGGCUUGCUCCUACCUAUCUUUCUGAUUUGGUCCUGCCGUACAUACCUACACGUACGCUACGGUCACAAGACGCAGGCCUCCUAAUUGUCCCUAGAAUUUCUAAGCAAACAGCUGGAGGCAUGGCUUUCUCCUAUAGAGCUCCAUUUUAUGGAAUGGUCUGCAUUCCCAUGUGAGAGACGCAGACUCGGUCUCAACCUAUUAGUCUUUACUGAAGACUCAUCUCUUCAGUGGGUCAUAUGACUGAGUGUAGUCUGGCCCAGGAGUGUGAAGGUGAACGGAAAGGCUCUGGAGCAACGAACCGCCCUUGCUGUCUCUGCCUGGCCGGUUCCCCUCUCUCCACUGGGAAUCUCUGCCUCUAACCCUAUUACAGGGGCUGAGUCACUGGCUUACUGGUGCUCUUUCAUGUCGUCUCUAGGAAGGGUGCGUCACUUGAGAGGGUUGAGUCACUGACGUGAUCUUCCUGUCUGGGUUGGCGCCCCCCCCUUGGGUUGUGCCGUGGCAGAGAUCUUUGUGGGCUAUACUCGGCCUUGUCUCAGGAUGGUAAGUUGGUGGUUGAAUAAAUCCCUCUAGUGGUGUGGGGGCUGUGCUUUGGCAAAGUGGGUGGGGUUAUAUCCUUCCUGUUUGGCCCUGUCCGGGGGUAUCAUUGGAUGGGGCCACAGUGUCUCCUGACCCCUCCUGUCUCAGCCUCUAGUAUUUAUGCUGCAGUAGUUUAUGUGUCGGGGGACUCGGGUCAGUUUGUUAUAUCUGGAGUACUUCUCCUGUCUUAUCCGGUGUCCUGUGUGAAUUUAAGUAUGCUCUCUCUAAUUCUCUCUUUCUCUCUUUCUUUCUCUCUCUCGGAGGACCUGAGUGCUAGGACCAUGCCUCAGGACUACCUGGCAUGAUGACUCCUUGCUGUCCCCAGGCCACCUGGCCGUGCUGCUGCUCCAGUUUCAACUGUUUUGCCUGCGGCUAUGGAAUCCUGACCUGUUCACCGGACUUGCUACCUGUCCCAGACCUGUUGUUUUCAACUCUCUAGAGACAGCAGGAGUGGUAGAUAUACUCUUAAUGAUCGGCUAUGAAAAGCCAACUGACAUUUACUCCUGAGGUGCUGGCUUGCUGCACCCUCAACAACUACUGUGAUUAUUAUUAUUUGACCAUGCUGGUCAUUUAUGAACAUUUGAACAUCUUGGCCAUGUUCUGUUAUAAUCUCCACCUGGCACAGCCAGAAGAGGACUGGCCACCCCUCAUAGCCUGGUUCCUCUCUAGGUUUCUUCCUUGGUUUUGGCCUUUCUAGGGAGUUCUUCCUAGCCACCGUGUUUCUACACCUGCAUUGUUUACUGUUUGGGGUUUUAGGCUGGGUUUCUGUACAGCACUUUGAGAUAUCAGCUGAUGUACGAAGGGCUAUAUAAAUAAAUUUGAUUUGAAAAAGGUUAAAUACCUGGAGAAUAAACCCUCUUCCUCACAGCCAUGUCCCUUAAUGUUGAUGAUGCAGUUGUUAUUGACAAUAAGCACAUGGCUGAGCUCUUUCAUCACCACUUCAAGUAAGUCAGGAUUCCUAUUUGACUCAGCCAUGCCUCCUUGCCCGUCCAACAUUUCCUCAUCUCCCACCCCUUGUAAUGGGACUAUCCCUGAUGCUCC
Molecule: long non-coding RNA, 4563 nt
Organism: Oncorhynchus tshawytscha (Chinook salmon)
Lineage: Eukaryota; Metazoa; Chordata; Actinopteri; Salmoniformes; Salmonidae
Source: Ensembl